CCUGUCUCUCGAGGUGUUUCAGUUGUGACUGCUGUAUCCUAUGUGAGUCAGUUGGUGGCAGAGAGAAGAGAAGCUAUGUCUAAGCUCAGGGUUCUGACACGUAAACAUCUGAAUGAUCAUUAGCCUUGCAUU
This is a small nucleolar RNA of Mus pahari (shrew mouse), 132 nucleotides long. RefSeq annotates it as small nucleolar RNA SNORA17. NCBI's taxonomy places the organism in Eukaryota, Metazoa, Chordata, Mammalia, Rodentia, Muridae. The record is from RefSeq and is a predicted model, not a curated record. The transcript has a single exon.